AUGCUCCUGCUGCUCAUCCCAGUGCUUGAGAUGAUUUUUUUCCUGAGAGGAUCGGGAGCGCAGUCGGUGACCCAGCCCGAUGCCCACGUCACUGUCUCUGAAGGAGCCUUGCUGGAGCUGAAGUGCAACUAUAACUAUGGGGCGACUCCUGUUCUCUUCUGGUACGUCCAGUACCCCAACCGAGACUUCCAGCUUAUCCUCAAGUAUCUAUCAGGGGACUCCGUGGUUAAAGGCAUCAACAGUUUUGAGGCUAAACUUGAG
Non-coding RNA from Condylura cristata (star-nosed mole), 261 nucleotides. Lineage: Eukaryota; Metazoa; Chordata; Mammalia; Eulipotyphla; Talpidae. The record is from the annotation of a RefSeq genome assembly.